UGGGGAAUUUUGGACAAUGGGCGCAAGCCUGAUCCAGCCAUGCCGCGUGCGGGAAGAAGGCCUUCGGGUUGUAAACCGCUUUGUCAGGGAAGAAAUCUUCUGAGUUAAUACCUCGGGAGGAUGACGGUACCUGAAGAAUAAGCACCGGCUAACUACGUGCCAGCAGCCGCGGUAAUACGUAGGGUGCAAGCGUUAAUCGGAAUUACUGGGCGUAAAGCGUGCGCAGGCGGUUUUGUAAGACAGAGGUGAAAUCCCCGGGCUCAACCUGGGAACUGCCUUUGUGACUGCAAGGCUUGAGUGCGGCAGAGGGGGGAUGGAAUUCCGCGUGUAGCAGCGAAAUGCGUAGAUAUGCGGAGGAACACCGAUGGCGAAGGCAAUCCCCCUGGGCCUGCACUGACGCUCAUGCACGAAAGCGUGGGGAGCAAACAGGGUUAGAU
Molecule: ribosomal RNA, 437 nt
Filed under: uncultured bacterium
Lineage: Bacteria
Description: partial 16S ribosomal RNA
Rfam family: Bacterial small subunit ribosomal RNA
Source: RNAcentral